Neopsephotus bourkii (Bourke's parrot) is the source of this 1454-nucleotide long non-coding RNA. RefSeq lists it as uncharacterized. The record is from RefSeq and is a predicted model, not a curated record. The transcript is spliced from 2 exons. Lineage: Eukaryota; Metazoa; Chordata; Aves; Psittaciformes; Psittacidae.
CAGAAGGGCUAGAUAGCAUGCAGCAGGCAAAAAGCAUGUCUGUGAAUGCUUACUGUGCAUCGAGUGCUCCUAGUGGCUUUCUCAAGAACUUCAUUCUUACCUAAAGAACUGAAUUUAAUCUUUUUCUCCAAUGAAAUUCACUUAACUGCACUGGUUCUUGAGUAUCCACAGAUUCUUUUUAGCUAAGAUGUUAAAAAUAUAAAAUGUGAGGAUAAGUUCUAAUUUUCCUGACUUACUGCAACACCUGUAAUUUUAUUCUACUCCUUUAUUAAGGAAAGGUACCUUUAAAUACCUUGCUAGCUACCAGCAGUUUUAUUUUGAAGGACUUCCAAUAUGCGAAGUUCAAACGUGUGAGUGAAACUUCUUGUGGAGCAGUGCUACAUAUAAAAUGCUGUACUGUUUAGACAGGCAAUAUCGCAAGUAGGAAGUGGAGUGACUUACAUGGCUGAUCUAGAGCAAAAUUGGAAGUAUCAACUCUUGAAUUCCAAUAAAUGUGGAUUAUUUUAAAAGCUUUAUAUGGGAGUAAAAAGUUCUUCUGUUGUUUGCAGGAGUUGUAUGUAGAAGAAUGUUGCCUGGAUGCAGGGGUUUUCAUUUAAUGCUUGCUUGUUGGUUGGUUUUGACUUCUGGAAUUUUUAAUGCUUUGAUAGGUGUUAAGAACUCAGUAUUAACUAAUUUUCAGAAAUGAACUUUGUGAUUCUUAUAGGAAAGGGGAAUUAUCCUUGAUUGCUUAGUUGGCUAUCUUAGUUCAUAGCAAAGUUGAUCAAUAGCUGGCCAAGAGAGGCAAAAUACUGUGGCAUGACUACACUUCCAAGUUUCACCAAAGUUGCUGAAUACUAUACUAGUCCAGCACAUGUUCAUUAAUGCAGUAUGACGUGUAUGAGAGAUUAAAUAGAUGGCAAGUUGUAUUCUGAGAGAUGGAAGGAAAUUUUUCUGAACUAAUAAAUGUCCUUUUUUUUUUCUUUUUAGAGGAAAAUUAUAAAAAAUGUAGGAACAAAUGCCUUUAGCUUAUUAAGUGAUGAGUUGGAACACUUUGCCAGUGCUGCCUGACAAAUGUGGAUGAUCUGUAACUGGAAGGAAGAGUAACACCGGAAGAGUUUUUUUGGCUUGGAGUGGGAUGCUGUGCUUUUAAAAGCCUGCUGAAACAACUGCUGCAGUUUUGUUUAGUGGAUACUGUUCUCAGAAGCUGCAUGUUAACCAACAUCACACACUGCGUAUUUAAAACAGUGCUUUUUCCCAAAACAUUGAGCUGCCCUCUGUAGGGAGGAUAGCAGCAAUAUUAGGGAAAUGAGUGGUGAGCUUCAAUAGACAGAAAAAACCCUCAGGGUAUUUAGCCCUUUUAAAAUAUCAUAAGGGUCUGCAGAGUUGCUGAUACUGAAGAUCUGUAAUAAAAUAGUGAAACAGGUAGGCCCUGUAAAGACAAGGAGAAAGCAAAAUGGGUACUCAAAUUCAAACCA